UUGUCGGCGCAGCGCAGCGUUGGCUCUCGAACCUGGUCAGGUCCGGAAGGAAGCAGCCAUAAGGGAUGCCCAGCGGGUGCCGUUGCUCACCGGCAAUGC
Molecule: signal recognition particle RNA, 99 nt
Filed under: Deinobacterium chartae
Lineage: Bacteria; Thermotogati; Deinococcota; Deinococci; Deinococcales; Deinococcaceae
Description: Bacterial small signal recognition particle RNA
Rfam family: Bacterial small signal recognition particle RNA
About the family: The signal recognition particle (SRP) is a universally conserved ribonucleoprotein involved in the co-translational targeting of proteins to membranes. Archaeal SRP consists of a 7S RNA and homologues of the eukaryotic SRP19 and SRP54 proteins.
Source: Rfam by way of RNAcentral